UAAAAUCUGACUUUCUGAUCAAUCAUAUUAGAUGGAUACAUAUAUUAGUAUGUAAAAUCGCUUACAACCACAUUUUUCCUUUAAAGAUUUUAAGCAUUUUGAAAAUUAUCAAAAGAUCCAAACACGCGCUUAGACUUUGUACCAAACCCUUUAAUUCCGUUCACAUCUUCAUUCAAAUGUUGUAACUAUCUCGUUACCCAAAAAGUCUACUCAAAAUUGAUAUAUUCUAUUGUCUUAUAUCUUGAUCGGACUAGACGCCAAAGGUGAGUUGCUCCGAGUUUUCAAGUCAUUCUUUUGAAUUGUGUAUUAAAUUAUUUUUUUAAUAGAUCAUUUAUUGUAAAAAUAUAAAUUGAUAUAAAGAGGUAAAUUAUUUUAAUUAUAUCUUUAUAAUAAUUGGGGCGAGAGUAGAAAAGUGGAUGGUCAUGGAAUAGGGUAUGGACAUGACGUUGGCUCCAAAAGGAAAACGAUAAACAUAAAGAGAUUACUUUAUGAGAAAUCCUGGGGACCGGUCCGACUGUUAAAACCAAAAUAACAGCCCUCCAAUAACCAUGCGCCACGUAAGAGGUUCAUUGGAAAAAAUCUGCAUCUGCGUACACCCGAUCAAAUGACUCUCCCCUCUUUCACUCCUUCGUAUUCCCUUUCUUCCUCGCUUUUUCCACUCAAUCCCUGAAGCUCUCGACCCCCUCAUCCCGCAUGGCGCUCGACCCAAACGGUAGCAGAGCUCAAUUCAGACAAUGAAGAAGACCCAAACGGUGGUCUGAAAAAAUGGAGAUGUCGGCGUCGGACUGAGAUGGUGGCAGUGGAACUAAGCUUUGUUGGGCGGCAAGGAUUGAUGGCUGUGCAAAGCAACGCUGAGCUUGGAGCGAAGACGGAAUGAACCUGAGAGAGAGUGGAGAUGCUAAUUUCUGGGCUGCUUUUCAGGCUUUGACAGACAGACCGCUCCACAGCGCCUCGCUUACUUUAUAUAUAUAAAGAGAUUACACAUAAAUAAAUUUAUAAACUGAC
Molecule: long non-coding RNA, 1005 nt
Organism: Carya illinoinensis
Lineage: Eukaryota; Viridiplantae; Streptophyta; Magnoliopsida; Fagales; Juglandaceae
Exons: 3
Source: RefSeq, a predicted model, not a curated record